CGGACACUGAGUUUGGACGCGACCAAAGGAAAAGGAUGAACGCCAUAGAGACCGUGGGAGAGCGGGAGCUGGGCGCUCAUUCUCUUCCCCUGAAGUUAGAGGAUGCACUGGGUGCCUUUUAAAAGCUGCAUAUUGAGGUGCCGAGGGAAGGUGGACAAAAACACAGAUUUUCUGCGGAUGCAUCAGAUGAAGGGUCUUUAAGAGGUUCAAGGAUGGCUGAAGAUUGUACCUGGAGCUUUGUCCCUUAGCAGCCACCCGGCUGUCUUUGGGGCAGAGUGAGCUGCUGGGGUGCCUUCGGAGCUCUGCACCCCGCCACGGUGCUGAACCUGGAGCGCCCCCUCCGCCUCCUGGCCUGAGCAAAUGCCCGAUGCGCUCUCGCGUCGCGGGACAGGCUGUCAGCAGCGAGGCAGCAGAAAUACCUAAGGCAUAGUUCCCAGAAAGAACUACGGGCUGGCCACAGAGCUGAGACACUGCAAAGGGGCCAGAUCUGCACUCCACAACCCUGGCUUUCCAGUUCUUUCCAGCAGAGGAAACCCAUUGAUUUUUACAAUAUAUGAGGCUGAGCUUGGGAAAUGUUAUCAUUUGAAAUAUUGUGCCACCCACCAAAAUAAUCAUUAGUUCCCACAACUCCAGCUGAAGUCCUUUUCUCCAAAAAGUGGCUUCUGUGCAUGGCAGUUCCCAGCCACAGGUCAUAGGUCACUCCAGGUGAAUAGUUUCGUCUGAUUCAUCCCAGGCUGAGAAUUUAUCCUGUUUCUAAAGACAGUCAGAAAAGCAGAACAAUCCUCUUCCUCUUCACCCUCCCUCUCUGAAUGCAUAGCCAUGUCCUGGAUGAGAAAAAAUGUAAAGUUCCAUCCCACACCUGUGCCUAAGUCUGUUUGCCCCGUAUCCAUGCCAUGAUGGGGUCCAAAUGCUGGUUUUUUUCCCUAAAUCAUUGUGAAAAUCAGAAAAAUGACUACAUAUCACUCUAGCAAAUACUUCACAAUGUAAAAUACCUUGUUUGGGUCCCUACACUAUACUUUCUUCCACCUCUUCCCAUCCCCUCACUGCUAUAUAACCCAUGGGCAUUCUUGAACUCUUAAUGCACAUUAUAUAAAGCUCACCCAUAUCAAUUUGGUCACUUAACACUUACUCCAUCUCCUUCCUUAACUGAAAUCUGUCUCUAUUCUAAAGGACACUGCUUCCCCACCAGCCCUAGAUGCUGGAGACCACUCACCUCCAGGGGCAGAGGUGGAGUUGGCAUUACUGCUCUGCCUUUCUGUCACCAUGCCCUUGUUGUAACACUCAUGUCACCUUACUAUUCUACCUUCUUGUCCAUUCUCUGUAUGUUUAUGCCUGAGGUCCUGAUAACUUGUCUCAUUCAUUAAUGACAUCUGGCUCAUGUCUCCACUUGCCAUCUCAAGUCUUGCCAUAUUGUUCAUUGUUAAUGUAGAUGAUGCUCAACACCUCAACUCCAAAGACUUCCACUUCUAAUGCUUUUCAACCUUGAUCACCAAGACUACACCUGGAUCUUGUGGUUCUAUAAACAUGGCUCUGAUGUCUUCAGCUCCAAGUUUCUACUCUCUGAUCUAACUGGUUUUUCUAGGUGUUUCCUGAACUCAAGUCAUCAAUUAUCUGAAGCACCCCUUACCCAAUUCCUUUGCACCCCAGGCCUUUUGCAGACUGUCUGGGGCUACAGCCUUGGAUUCCUGCUACAUUAAACCUCAAAUCCCAACCCCAGAUAAUAAGCCCAUCUGGAACUGCAGCUUAAAGCCAUUUCAAAGCCACAGUCCUCAGCCUCAGUUACACCCUCAGUCUCAGCACCACAAAUUCCUGUCACAUAUCAUAAGCCAGUCUCAAAACAGUAUUUCAGACCAACCCUACUCUGCUCUUUACCUCUUUCAAGUGCUCCACUUUCCUUCCUUCCCUCCUUUUCAGUAGACAAAUGGGUCUCUUGCUACCUGGGAGAAAAUGACUUCAUUUGUCAUGACUUACAUUCCAUUCUCCUUGCCUUUAUAAAAUGUAGCUUCUCUCAUACCCAUCCUGCCCCACUGCCUCUGAUAUCACUCAGUGAUCAACAUCCUGUGGCCAACCUCUCUACCUGUGCCCUUGACCAUAUUCUUUUAUUCCAACUUCAGGGCCCUGAGCCAUCAACCAGCUUCAGUUUCUCUCUGUUACCUACAGGACAAAGGUCGUACUUGCUAAUAUAGCUCAUGCCACCCUCAUCUCUUUUUACCCUCAUCCACUCCUCUGUGCUCUAGAACUGCUCUGACCAAUAUGGUAUCCACUAGUCAUAUUUAAAUUUGUGGCCUAUUUAAAUUUAAGUGAAUUAAAAUUUAAUUUAAUUUAAAUUCAGCUACUCACUUACACCAGCCACUUUUCAAGUGCCCAAUAACCACAUGGGGCAAGUGGCUCCUGUACUGAGCAGCACAAACAUCAAACAUUUUCCGCAUUGAAGAAAGUUCUCUUGGCCAGCACUGCUCACCUUUACUGAAAAUCUUGCACAUCCUCAAAAGGGUCAAGGUUUUUCAUGUCUCCACCUUUGCACAGAGAGAUACAACAACCAUUUCCAUGUCACACCAUUCACACCAGCAUCUACACUCAUCAGUAUGAGGACAUCCACUUCCAGAAGCAACUGUUGGUGGUGCUGCAAGCAACCACUGAAGUUCUUCAUGCCAGUAUUUAUGUGGUGAUUAGUAUGUCUUUAAGACAAUAUGGAUUCUUCUCUUCAGGCAUAGUAAAGACAAGGAAGAUAUACUAAUGGGAAGAUGGGACAUUAUACUUCAAGAAGGGCUUUUAGAUUCCAUCCUGCCAGUCUUUCCAAAUCUCCAUUAAUCAAAACUUGAACUGCCAUUGUAGAUAGAGUAAUUAUCGUACAGCUUCUCCUUAGAAAGUCCUUUUUAAUGUUGUUAAAAGAAAACCUACCACAAACUAGUUAAUUAUCUUUGCUGAGGUUCUAUUUUUCGUGCAUCCAAAUGAUCAAUCAUCAUGCAACAGAGAGAACACCUAGAAAUUCAAUCACAACACUUAGGAAAAGUUCACAAGAGUUGCAGUGAGAAAUAGUAAAAAAGUGAGUAUUUCUCAACACUAUGUAUCCCCCAAAUCAGGCCUUUGCUGUAUGAAUGAUUUUAUUGAAAGUAAAUUAAAGUCACUGAUGAAAACCAGAAAUAGCACCAUUUAGAUAAUAAGCAUAGAACAAAUUCUAAAACCAGAUACCAAGUUUGUGGUAAUUACUUGUCAUUUUGAAUAUACUUCAUAAAUAUCAGGACAGGCAUGAGAGAUGAGCGACCAGCCCUGCCAUUCACAAGGCUGAGCAAUUAGCUUCAGCCCUUGGGCCUUAGCCUCGUAAAUGAAGUGACAGAAUCAGAGCAGAUUCUAAGUUCUCUUUUCACUCUAAAAGCAGUGGUAUUGCUGGGGUGUGGGUGAAGAGUAGAGCAUUAUUUAAUGUAAUCAAUAUUUUCUCAAUGUUACAUAAAGAGCAAUGUAAAUCCAGCUUCAGGUUCCUGUCCCUACAGGGUUGCCACCAAGUAAUUCUUUGUGCAUAGAAAUUCUGGAGUCUCCGACGUCUAAAAUGAGAGUGUACAAUGCAUCUAUAAGAGCAAUCUGUGGGGCUGGGACAUGAAGAGGUGUAGGAGGAGUAGACUACAAGAGCAUUCACAGGCGAGUGUAAGCUUAUAAGAUCAGUGAAUACUUCUUUCUGUCUUUAAAGAAGAUAUAUUGGUUUUGUCAACACAGUACUUCUCUCUCUUCAUCUUGGCUUAUUGUUUGUACACAGGCC
Non-coding RNA from Manis javanica (Malayan pangolin), 3754 nucleotides. The record is from RefSeq and is a predicted model, not a curated record. NCBI's taxonomy places the organism in Eukaryota, Metazoa, Chordata, Mammalia, Pholidota, Manidae.